Molecule: ribosomal RNA, 420 nt
Filed under: halophilic archaeon
Lineage: Archaea; Methanobacteriati; Methanobacteriota; Halobacteria; Halobacteriales
Description: bacterial SSU rRNA
Rfam family: Archaeal small subunit ribosomal RNA
Source: RNAcentral
AACACGUGGCCAAACUACCCUACAGACCGCGAUAACCUCGGGAAACUGAGGCCAAUAGCGGAUAUAACUCUCAGGCUGGAGUGCCGAGAGUUAGAAACGUUCCGGCGCUGUAGGAUGUGGCUGCGGCCGAUUAGGUAGAUGGUGGGGUAACGGCCCACCAUGCCGAUAAUCGGUACAGGUUGUGAGAGCAAGAGCCUGGAGACGGUAUCUGAGACAAGAUACCGGGCCCUACGGGGCGCAGCAGGCGCGAAACCUUUACACUGCACGACAGUGCGAUAGGGGGACUCCGAGUGUGAGGGCAUAUAGCCCUCGCUUUUCUGAACCGUAAGGUGGUUCAGGAACAAGGACUGGGCAAGACCGGUGCCAGCCGCCGCGGUAAUACCGGCAGUCCAAGUGAUGGCCGAUAUUAUUGGGCCUAAA